GAUGAACGCUGGCGGCGUGCCUAAUACAUGCAAGUCGAGCGAACGGACGAGAAGCUUGCUUCUCUGAUGUUAGCGGCGGACGGGUGAGUAACACGUGGAUAACCUACCUAUAAGACUGGGAUAACUUCGGGAAACCGGAGCUAAUACCGGAUAAUAUUUUGAACCGCAUGGUUCAAAAGUGAAAGACGGUCUUGCUGUCACUUAUAGCUGGAUCCGCGCUGCAUUAGCUAGUUGGUAAGGUAACGGCUUACCAAGGCAACGAUGCAUAGCCGACCUGAGAGGGUGAUCGGCCACACUGGAACUGAGACACGGUCCAGACUCCUACGGGAGGCAGCAGUAGGGAAUCUUCCGCAAUGGGCGAAAGCCUGACGGAGCAACGCCGCGUGAGUGAUGAAGGUCUUCGGAUCGUAAAACUCUGUUAUUAGGGAAGAACAUAUGUGUAAGUAACUGUGCACAUCUUGACGGUACCUAAUAAGAAAGCCACGGCUAACUACGUG
Molecule: ribosomal RNA, 497 nt
Filed under: uncultured bacterium
Lineage: Bacteria
Description: partial 16S ribosomal RNA
Rfam family: Bacterial small subunit ribosomal RNA
Source: RNAcentral